ACUCUAGUCCGACUUUGUGAAAUGACUUGAGAGGUGUAGUAUAAGUGGGAGCUUCGGCGAAAUUGAAAUACCACUACUUUUAACGUUAUUUUACUUAUUCGGUGAAACGGAGGCGGGGCAUCGCCCCUCUUUUUGGACCCAAGGCCGGCCUCGCGCCGGCCGAUCCGGGCGGCAGACAUUGUCAGGUGGGGAGUUUGGCUGAGGCGGCA
RNAcentral lists this ribosomal RNA (209 nucleotides) under Prunus dulcis (almond). RNAcentral describes it as "rRNA LSU_rRNA_bacteria". It matches the Rfam family "Eukaryotic large subunit ribosomal RNA", at positions 2425 to 2635 of the family's 3401-position model. The record is from RNAcentral. Lineage: Eukaryota; Viridiplantae; Streptophyta; Magnoliopsida; Rosales; Rosaceae.